Molecule: ribosomal RNA, 509 nt
Filed under: Physarum utriculare
Lineage: Eukaryota; Evosea; Eumycetozoa; Physariida; Physaraceae
Description: SSU rRNA
Rfam family: Eukaryotic small subunit ribosomal RNA
Source: RNAcentral
GACGAUCAGAUACCAUCGUAGUCUUAACUAUAAAUGAUGCAAACCAGGGAUAGGACAGUGUCCAUCUCGACUCCUCCCGGACCUUGGAGAAAUUACAGUCUAUGGGUUCUGGGGGGAGUAUGGUCGCAAGGCUGAAACUUAAAGGAAUUGACGGAAGGGCACACAAAGAGUGGAACCUGCGGCUUAAUUUGACUCAACACGGGAAAACUCACCAGGUCCGGUUACACGUAUGAAAGUCAAGCUGAAAGACUUUACUCAAUGAUGUAAGUGGUGGUGCAUGGUCGUUCUUAGUUCGUGGAUUGAUUUAUCUGGUCUAUUCCGAUAACGAGCGAGACCCCGGCGUUCCUAAUAGGGGUGGCAGCCAAGCCGGUCGCAAGGCCGGUUAGCACGCCGCCUGAAGUUAUACUUCUUAGACGUAUCAGAGCCGACAAGGUUCUUGAAAUGGGUUAAUAACAGGUCAGUCAUGCCCUUAGAUGUUCUGGGCCGCACGCGCGUUACAAUGGCACGUA